CCCUUAGAUGUUCUGGGCCGCACGCGCGCUCCACUGAUGCAUUCAACGAGCCUAUCCUUGACCGACAGGUCCGGGUAAUCUUUGAAUCUGCAUCGUGACGGGGAUAGAUUAUUGCAAUUAUUAAUCUUCAACGAGGAAUGCCUAGUAGGCGCAAGUCAUCAGCUUGCGUCGAUUACGUCCCUGCCCUUUGUACACACCGCCCGUCGCUCCUACCGAUUGGGUGUGCUGGUGAAAUGUUCGGAUCGGCCGUUUGUCGCGGUUUCCGCGGCUCGUGGCUGAGAAGUUCAUUAAACCCUCCCACCUAGAGGAAGGAGAAGUCGUAACA
This 325-nucleotide ribosomal RNA is filed under the name uncultured eukaryote. Its description in RNAcentral is "partial 18S ribosomal RNA". It matches the Rfam family "Eukaryotic small subunit ribosomal RNA", at positions 1470 to 1796 of the family's 1831-position model. The record is from RNAcentral.